Molecule: long non-coding RNA, 1235 nt
Filed under: Trifolium pratense (red clover)
Lineage: Eukaryota; Viridiplantae; Streptophyta; Magnoliopsida; Fabales; Fabaceae
Description: long non-coding RNA (TPRA_LNC001556)
Source: RNAcentral
AUUAAGCCGUAUUUUUAUUAUGUUUUUUUAUUAUUUUUUAUUUAUUUUUAUUUUGGGUUUGAAUCAAGCAAAUUAAAUAAAUAAAUAUCACAGGGGGUGCAGAAAGUAUGCAAAGGGGUGCUGGUAGCAGGUAACAAAAAAAAGGGAAUCCGUCUCUGCCGUCUGAUCAAUCAGACGGUCUUGAUGAGACUUUGUUGAGGGACGUUUGUGGCCGCUUGAUGACGAUCAACGGCCUGAGAUAAGUAUGCUACGGUGGGCGCGCGACACUGGAUCGGAGCACUAUAAAUACAAAAAUUUACCGAUUUUCCUCCAUUCUUAACAGUUUUUUCUCUAUUCUCUCCACCUCUUCUUCUCUCUCGGUCUCUCUCUCACUCUAUAUUUUUUUUAAUUCUCCAAUCAAGUUUUCUCUAUUAAGCUAACAACAAUCAAUACAAAAACCUCUAUUUUUAAAUCAACACAAAGGCAUGAAAGCAAAAUAAUGUGAAAAGGAGGGAAGAAUGGUUACCGGCGGCGAGGGAAGACAAACGCGGGGCGAACGGCGGCGGAGCGAGGGAGGUCUGGCGAGACAGAGGAAGGUCCAGCGGAGAGCGCGAAUGGUCUGACGGCGGUAGACNNNNNNNNNNNNNNNNNNNNNNNNNNCGAGACAGAGGAAGGUCCAGCGGAGAGCGCGAAUGGUCUGACGGCGGUGCGUAGACAGUGCGGUGGUUAUCCGGCGGAUAUAGCGGCGAAUCGCUCCUCACUUUUUCUCGUUCUGCUUCUUUUACGUUCUUUCUCUGCUACUGUUAUUGUUUGAUUGAUGACUAUGAAGGGUGAUUUUUUAUGAUUGAAGGUUUUUGGCAGUGAUGGUGAUAUGUUGGUGAUGAUGGUGUUGAUGGAUGGUGGAGAAGGCGCAGUAACAGUGCUGCGGCUGUUGUUAUUAUUUUUGUGUGUAUUUUCUCUAUUUUCCUCCUCUUUUGCGUGUAAUCCCCCACCCUUUUGUGUUGAAUGAUUGCUAUUUAUAAGCAAAUGGAUUCUAGUUUACAAUUAUGACUAUGAUCAAUCACUCAAGGAAUGAGAUUAUGACUCUUCAAUUUGAUUUUAUGAGUGAAUGAGAAAUUUCCACUUUUGUUUGAUUCAGUAUCAUCCCUUUUUUAAUGUGCUUCAAUGUACAUGAAGAAUGGAGAAAAACUUCAUUUUCUUGUGUCCAGCUUUCAUUCUUAUCGUGAUGUUCCUCUCUUUUUUCUUUUGUUUUCUUU